AUUGAACGCUGGCGGCAUGCCUUACACAUGCAAGUCGAACGCGAAAGGGGGGCAACCCCUGAGUAGAGUGGCGCACGGGUGAGUAAUGCAUCGGAACGUGUCCUGUAGCGGGGGAUAACCUAGCGAAAGCUAGGCUAAUACCGCAUACGCCCUAAGGGGGAAAGUGGGGGAUCGUAAGACCUCACACUAUAGGAGCGGCCGAUGCCGGAUUAGCUAGUUGGUGGGGUAAAAGCUCACCAAGGCGACGAUCCGUAGCUGGUCUGAGAGGAUGAUCAGCCACACUGGGACUGAGACACGGCCCAGACUCCUACGGGAGGCAGCAGUGGGGAAUUUUGGACAAUGGGGGAAACCCUGAUCCAGCCAUGCCGCGUGAGUGAAGAAGGCCUUCGGGUUGUAAAGCUCUUUCGGCCGGGACGAAAUCGCACGCGUGAAUAUCGUGUGCGGAUGACGGUACCGGCAGAAGAAGGACCGGCUAACUACGUGCCAGCCGCCGCCGUAA
RNAcentral lists this ribosomal RNA (499 nucleotides) under uncultured bacterium. RNAcentral describes it as "partial 16S ribosomal RNA". It matches the Rfam family "Bacterial small subunit ribosomal RNA", at positions 29 to 523 of the family's 1533-position model. The record is from RNAcentral.